GCAAGUCGAACGGAAUAAUGACUUCGGUUGUUAUUUAGUGGCGGAAGGGUUAGUAAUACAUAGAUAAUCUGUCCUCAACUUGGGAAUAACGGUUGGAAACGACCGCUAAUACCGAAUGUAGUAUGUUUAGGCAUCUAAAACAUAUUAAAGAAGGGGAUCUUCGGACCUUUCGGUUAAGGGAGAGUCUAUGGGAUAUCAGCUUGUUGGUGGGGUAAUGGCCUACCAAGGCUUUGACGUCUAGGCGGAUUGA
Molecule: ribosomal RNA, 250 nt
Filed under: uncultured Chlamydia sp.
Lineage: Bacteria; Pseudomonadati; Chlamydiota; Chlamydiia; Chlamydiales; Chlamydiaceae
Description: partial 16S ribosomal RNA
Rfam family: Bacterial small subunit ribosomal RNA
Source: RNAcentral